UUAAGUUAUUAAGGGCGCACGGUGGAUGCCUUGGCACUAGAAGCCGACGAAGGACGUUACUAACGACGAUAUGCUUUGGGGAGCUGUAAGUAAGCUUUGAUCCAGAGAUUUCCGAAUGGGGAAACCCAGCACGAGUUAUGUCGUGUUAUCGAUAUGUAAAUACAUAGCAUAUCUGAAGGCAGACGCGGAGAACUGAAACAUCUUAGUACCCGCAGGAAGAGAAAGAAAAAUCGAUUCCCUGAGUAGCGGCGAGCGAAACGGGAAGAGCCCAAACCAAUGAGCUUGCUUGUUGGGGUUGUAGGACACUCUAUACGGAGUUACAAAAGAACAGACUAGACGAAUCAUCUGGAAAGAUGAAUCAAAGAAGGUAAUAAUCCUGUAGUCGAAAGUUUGUUCACUCUUGAGUGGAUCCUGAGUACGACGGAACACGAGAAAUUCCGUCGGAAUCUGGGAGGACCAUCUCCCAAGGCUAAAUACUCUCUAGUGACCGAUAGUGAACCAGUACCGUGAGGGAAAGGUGAAAAGUACCCCGGAAGGGGAGUGAAAUAGAACUUGAAACCGUGUGCUUACAAGUAGUCAGAGCCCGUUAAUGGGUGAUGGCGUGCCUUUUGUAGAAUGAACCGGCGAGUUACGAUUUGAUGCAAGGUUAAGCAGUGAAUGUGGAGCCGUAGCGAAAGCGAGUCUGAAUAGGGCGUUGAGUAUUUGGUCGUAGACCCGAAACCAGGUGAUCUACCCAUGACCAGGUUGAAGUUCAGGUAACACUGAAUGGAGGACCGAACCGACUUACGUUGAAAAGUGAGCGGAUGAGUUGUGGGUAGCGGAGAAAUUCCAAUCGAACCUGGAGAUAGCUGGUUCUCUCCGAAAUAGCUUUAGGGCUAGCCUCAAGUGAUGAUUAUUGGAGGUAGAGCACUGUUUGGACGAGGGGCCCUUAUCGGGUUACCGAAUUCAGACAAACUCCGAAUGCCAAUCAAUUUAACUUGGGAGUCAGAACGCGGGUGAUAAGGUCCGUGUUCGAAAGGGAAACAGCCCAGACCACCAGCUAAGGUCCCAAAAUAUAUGUUAAGUGGAAAAGGAUGUGGCGUUGCCCAGACAACUAGGAUGUUGGCUUAGAAGCAGCCAUCAUUUAAAGAGUGCGUAAUAGCUCACUAGUCGAGUGACACUGCGCCGAAAAUGUACCGGGGCUAAACAUAUUACCGAAGCUGUGGAUUGUCCGUAAGGACAAUGGUAGGAGAGCGUUCUAAGGGCGUUGAAGCAUGAUCGCAAGGACAUGUGGAGCGCUUAGAAGUGAGAAUGCCGGUGUGAGUAGCGAAAGACGGGUGAGAAUCCCGUCCACCGAUUGACUAAGGUUUCCAGAGGAAGGCUCGUCCGCUCUGGGUUAGUCGGGUCCUAAGCUGAGGCCGAUAGGCGUAGGCGAUGGAUAACAGGUUGAUAUUCCUGUACCACCAUUAUUCGUUUUAAGCGAUGGGGGGACGCAGUAGGAUAGGCGAAGCGUACGAUUGGAUUGUACGUCCAAGCAGUGAGAUUGAGUGUUAGGCAAAUCCGGCACUCUUAAGAUUGAGCUGUGAUGGGGAGAGGAAAUUGUUUCCUCGAGUCGUUGAUUUCACACUGCCAAGAAAAGCCUCUAGCUAGAAUUGUGGUGCCCGUACCGCAAACCGACACAGGUAGUCAAGAUGAGAAUUCUAAGGUGAGCGAGCGAACUCUCGUUAAGGAACUCGGCAAAAUGACCCCGUAACUUCGGGAGAAGGGGUGCUCUUUAGGGUUAACGCCCAGGAGAGCCGCAGUGAAUAGGCCCAAGCGACUGUUUAUCAAAAACACAGGUCUCUGCUAAACCGUAAGGUGAUGUAUAGGGGCUGACGCCUGCCCGGUGCUGGAAGGUUAAGAGGAGUGGUUAGCUUCUGCGAAGCUACGAAUCGAAGCCCCAGUAAACGGCGGCCGUAACUAUAACGGUCCUAAGGUAGCGAAAUUCCUUGUCGGGUAAGUUCCGACCCGCACGAAAGGCGUAACGAUUUGGGCACUGUCUCAACGAGAGACUCGGUGAAAUCAUAGUACCUGUGAAGAUGCAGGUUACCCGCGACAGGACGGAAAGACCCCGUGGAGCUUUACUGUAGUCUGAUAUUGAAAUUCGGCACAGCUUGUACAGGAUAGGUAGGAGCCUGAGAUACGUGAGCGCUAGCUUACGUGGAGGCGUUGGUGGGAUACUACCCUCGCUGUGUUGGAUUUCUAACCCGCACCAUUUAUCAUGGUGGGAGACAGUGUCAGAUGGGCAGUUUGACUGGGGCGGUCGCCUCCUAAAGAGUAACGGAGGCGCUCAAAGGUUUCCUCAGAAUGGUUGGAAAUCAUUCAUAGAGUGUAAAGGCAUAAGGAAGCUUGACUGCGAGACUUACAAGUCGAGCAGGGUCGAAAGACGGACUUAGUGAUCCGGUGGUUCCGCAUGGAAGGGCCAUCGCUCAACGGAUAAAAGCUACCCCGGGGAUAACAGGCUUAUCUCCCCCAAGAGUUCACAUCGACGGGGAGGUUUGGCACCUCGAUGUCGGCUCAUCGCAUCCUGGGGCUGUAGUCGGUCCCAAGGGUUGGGCUGUUCGCCCAUUAAAGCGGUACGCGAGCUGGGUUCAGAACGUCGUGAGACAGUUCGGUCCCUAUCCGUCGUGGGCGUAGGAAAUUUGAGAGGAGCUGUCCUUAGUACGAGAGGACCGGGAUGGACAUACCUCUGGUGUACCAGUUGUCGUGCCAACGGCAUCGCUGGGUAGCUAUGUAUGGACGGGAUAAGUGCUGAAAGCAUCUAAGCAUGAAGCCCCCCUCAAGAUGAGAUUUCCCAACUUCGGUUAUAAGAUCCCUCAAAGAUGAUGAGGUUAAUAGGUUCGAGGUGGAAGCAUAGCGAUAUGUGCAGCUGACGAAUACUAAUCGAUCGAAGACUUAAUCAA
RNAcentral lists this ribosomal RNA (2921 nucleotides) under Staphylococcus saprophyticus. RNAcentral describes it as "23S ribosomal RNA". It matches the Rfam family "Bacterial large subunit ribosomal RNA". The record is from RNAcentral. Lineage: Bacteria; Bacillati; Bacillota; Bacilli; Caryophanales; Staphylococcaceae.